GCGCGCUUUCCUCGUCUCCCGACUUCUUGCACGUGCAGCGGUGUGAGACGGGCUGCAGCGAUCGAGAGCGUUCCAGGAGCGCAGUAUACAUCUGGAGCGAAGAGGGAGACGCAGACAUGUCGUCUUCUCGGUGGCUGCCGUCCGGUGCUGCGAUGGUCGUCGUCGUGCUGCUGUCCGUCGACCCGCGGGCGAAAAGACUCGCUCUCGGUGCGAGUGUGGCGCCAAGGCGUACUGCGUUGGAUGUCAUCUGCGACCUCCCCCCAGAUGUGAACGAUCAGCUGAGGAACACUACUAAGAAAUGCGAAGAAAUGUUUCCGCAAUCGGUUGCCAGCCUGAGCGACCACAGGAAUAACGAAUGCCUGAAGCAAGUGGCCGGGCCCGAGGCCAAUGAACAAAGACCCGGGACGUCUUCUGUGCUCAGCGGGGACUCUUCCAACCAUACAUCGACUGCGUGAUGAAAACACAGAGGGAGAUGCUGAAGGCCUACGCCAAACUUUCAGCGACGGAACUGCGGGCUGUUCGCGACGGACUUGUAUGCAUGCUGACAACAUGGAAUGAGCUGCUCCGUACUUAAUACCAAGCGGAUCUGGAUUAAAAAAAAAAAAAAAAAAAA
RNAcentral lists this long non-coding RNA (613 nucleotides) under Dermacentor andersoni. RNAcentral describes it as "uncharacterized LOC126548255". Lineage: Eukaryota; Metazoa; Arthropoda; Arachnida; Ixodida; Ixodidae. The record is from RNAcentral.